ACUCCUACGGGAGGCAGCAGUGGGGAAUAUUGCACAAUGGGCGCAAGCCUGAUGCAGCCAUGCCGCGUGUAUGAAGAAGGCCUUCGGGUUGUAAAGUACUUUCAGCAGUGAGGAAGGUGGAUAUGUUAAUAGCAUAUUCAUUUGACGUUAGCUGCAGAAGAAGCACCGGCUAACUCCGUGCCAGCAGCCGCGGUAAUACGGAGGGUGCGAGCGUUAAUCGGAAUUACUGGGCGUAAAGCGCAUGCAGGUGGUUUGUUAAGUCAGAUGUGAAAGCCCGGGGCUCAACCUCGGAAUUGCAUUUGAAACUGGCAAACUAGAGUACUGUAGAGGGGGGUAGAAUUUCAGGUGUAGCGGUGAAAUGCGUAGAGAUCUGAAGGAAUACCGGUGGCGAAGGCGGCCCCCUGGACAGAUACUGACACUCAGAUGCGAAAGCUGGGGAGCAAACAGGAUUAGAUACCCUGAUAGGCUCUGC
Molecule: ribosomal RNA, 472 nt
Filed under: uncultured bacterium
Lineage: Bacteria
Description: bacterial SSU rRNA
Rfam family: Bacterial small subunit ribosomal RNA
Source: RNAcentral